Molecule: ribosomal RNA, 497 nt
Filed under: uncultured bacterium
Lineage: Bacteria
Description: partial 16S ribosomal RNA
Rfam family: Bacterial small subunit ribosomal RNA
Source: RNAcentral
GAUGAACGCUGGCGGCGUGCCUAAUACAUGCAAGUCGAGCGAACGGACGAGAAGCUUGCUUCUCUGAUGUUAGCGGCGGACGGGUGAGUAACACGUGGAUAACCUACCUAUAAGACUGGGAUAACUUCGGGAAACCGGAGCUAAUACCGGAUAAUAUUUUGAACCGCAUGGUUCAAAAGUGAAAGACGGUCUUGCUGUCACUUAUAGAUGGAUCCGCGCUGCAUUAGCUAGUUGGUAAGGUAACGGCUUACCAAGGCAACGAUGCAUAGCCGCCCUGAGAGUGGGGUCGCCCACACUGGACGGGAGACAGGGCCAAGACUCCAGGGGAAGGCGCGAGGGGGGACUCUCCCGGAAGGGGCGAAACCCUAAGGGAGAACCGCCGGGGGGUGAAUAAAGUUUUUGGACUCUAAAAACUUUGUUAUAAGGAAAAAACAUAUGUGAAAUUACCUGGCAACUUCUUGACGGUCCCUAAUAAGAAAGCCAGGGCAAACUACGUG